AUACGGAGGAUCCGAGCGUUAUCCGGAUUUAUUGGGUUUAAAGGGUGCGCAGGCGGGAGAUUAAGUCGGCGGUGAAAUUUUUCAGCUCAACUGUAAAGGGGCCUUCGAAACUGGUUUUCUUGAGUGUAGAUGAAGUAGGCGGAAUUUGUGGUGUAGCGGUGAAAUGCAUAGAUAUCACGAGGAACUCCGAUUGCGCAGGCAGCUUACUAAACUACUACUGACGCUCAGGCACGAAGGCGUGGGGAUCAAACAGGAUUAGAUACCCUGGUAGUCCACGCAGUAAACGAUGAUUACUAGCUGUUUGCGAUACAAUGUAAGCGGCUGAGCGAAAGCGUUAAGUAAUCCACCUGGGGAGUACGUUCGCAAGAAUGAAACUCAAAUGAAUUGACGGGG
RNAcentral lists this ribosomal RNA (393 nucleotides) under uncultured bacterium. RNAcentral describes it as "partial 16S ribosomal RNA". It matches the Rfam family "Bacterial small subunit ribosomal RNA", at positions 523 to 918 of the family's 1533-position model. The record is from RNAcentral.